UGUGUACUCCCUCCGUUCCAAAAUACUUGACUUCCAUUUGUCCAAAAUGGAUGUACCUAUAUACUAAAACAUGUCUAGAUACAUCUAUAUUUUUAGAAAUAGAAGGCAUGUAUUGUGGAACGGAGGGAGUAGAAU
Triticum aestivum (bread wheat) is the source of this 135-nucleotide non-coding RNA. The record is from Rfam. NCBI's taxonomy places the organism in Eukaryota, Viridiplantae, Streptophyta, Magnoliopsida, Poales, Poaceae.